ACAAACAUACUGCCCUAUCUUAAGUCCUCAAACCUCAGUCGACUCUCUACCUUCACUCUCAAAGAAUGAAGCAAUCUUGCAAGGCACUAUUGAACACAUCACAUUCAACUGGAAAAGAUCCAACUGGUCUAGAUCUUCAAAAAGUCAUCCCCCACUCUCUGGCAUGCCUACGUAGCUGAAGUGCAACAAAAAAAACACCACGAGCAUCAACCAAACCCC
RNAcentral lists this long non-coding RNA (219 nucleotides) under Solanum tuberosum (potato). Its description in RNAcentral is "long non-coding RNA (STUB_LNC006331)". The record is from RNAcentral. Lineage: Eukaryota; Viridiplantae; Streptophyta; Magnoliopsida; Solanales; Solanaceae.